AGAGUUAUGAUCAUGUCUCAGAUUGAACGCUGGCGGAAUGCUUUACACAUGCAAGUCGAACGGCAGCACGGGGGCACCCCUGGUGGCGAGUGGCGAACGGGUGAGUAAUACAUCGGAACGUGCCCAGUCGUGGGGGAUAACGUAGCGAAAGUUACGCUAAUACCGCAUACGAUCUAUGGAUGAAAGCGGGGGACCGUAAGGCCUCGCGCGAUUGGAGCGGCCGAUGUCAGAUUAGGUAGUUGGUGGGGUAAAGGCCCACCAAGCCGACGAUCUGUAGCUGGUCUGAGAGGACGACCAGCCACACUGGGACUGAGACACGGCCCAGACUCCUACGGGAGGCAGCAGUGGGGAAUUUUGGACAAUGGGCGCAAGCCUGAUCCAGCCAUUCCGCGUGCAGGACGAAGGCCUUCGGGUUGUAAACUGCUUUUGUACAGAACGAAAAGCUUUGGGUUAAUACCUUGAGGUCAUGACGGUACUGUAAGAAUAAGCACCGGCUAACUACGUGCCAGCAGCCGCGGUAAU
RNAcentral lists this ribosomal RNA (522 nucleotides) under uncultured bacterium. Its description in RNAcentral is "bacterial SSU rRNA". It matches the Rfam family "Bacterial small subunit ribosomal RNA", at positions 8 to 524 of the family's 1533-position model. The record is from RNAcentral.